This 70-nucleotide transfer RNA is filed under the name Ipomoea nil (Japanese morning glory). It matches the Rfam family "tRNA". Rfam says of the family: Transfer RNA (tRNA) molecules are approximately 80 nucleotides in length. Their secondary structure includes four short double-helical elements and three loops (D, anti-codon, and T loops). The record is from Rfam by way of RNAcentral. Lineage: Eukaryota; Viridiplantae; Streptophyta; Magnoliopsida; Solanales; Convolvulaceae.
GGGUAUAAUAUAGUGGUAUGAUUCUUGCUUUGGGUGCGAGAGAUUGUGAGUUCAAUUCUCACAACACCCU